AAUAGAUACCCAGGUAGUCCACGCCGUAAACGAUGUCGACUUGGAGGUUGUUCCCUUGAGGAGUGGCUUCCGGAGCUAACGCGUUAAGUCGACCGCCUGGGGAGUACGGCCGCAAGGUUAAAACUCAAAUGAAUUGACGGGGGCCCGCACAAGCGGUGGAGCAUGUGGUUUAAUUCGAUGCAACGCGAAGAACCUUACCUACUCUUGACAUCCAGAGAACUUAGCAGAGAUGCUUUGGUGCCUUCGGGAACUCUGAGACAGGUGCUGCAUGGCUGUCGUCAGCUCGUGUUGUGAAAUGUUGGGUUAAGUCCCGCAACGAGCGCAACCCUUAUCCUUUGUUGCCAGCGGUUCGGCCGGGAACUCAAAGGAGACUGCCAGUGAUAAACUGGAGGAAGUGGGGAUGACGUCAAGUCAUCAUGGCCCUUACGAGUAGGGCUACACACGUGCUACAAUGGCGUAUACAAAGAGAAGCGACCUCGCGAGAGCAAGCGGACCUCAUAAAGCACGUCGUAGUCCGGAUUGGAGUCUGCUAAC
RNAcentral lists this ribosomal RNA (534 nucleotides) under uncultured bacterium. Its description in RNAcentral is "bacterial SSU rRNA". It matches the Rfam family "Bacterial small subunit ribosomal RNA", at positions 777 to 1312 of the family's 1533-position model. The record is from RNAcentral.